This 98-nucleotide microRNA precursor is filed under the name Camelus dromedarius (Arabian camel). RNAcentral describes it as "mir-544 microRNA precursor family". It matches the Rfam family "mir-544 microRNA precursor family". RNAcentral also lists the same sequence under 1 other name. Lineage: Eukaryota; Metazoa; Chordata; Mammalia; Artiodactyla; Camelidae. The record is from Rfam by way of RNAcentral.
AUCUCCCGGGGAUCUUACUGAAAUGCAGAUUCUGAUUCAGGAGGUCUGGGUGAGAGCCUGAGCUUCUGCAUUUCUAAUAAGUUCCCCAGUGAUGCCAA